UACGUAGGUGGCAAGCGUUAUCCGGAUUUAUUGGGCGUAAAGGGAACGCAGGCGGUCUUUUAAGUCUGAUGUGAAAGCCUUCGGCUUAACCGGAGUAGUGCAUUGGAAACUGGGAGACUUGAGUGCAGAAGAGGAGAGUGGAACUCCAUGCGUAGCGGUGAAAUGCGUAGAUAUAUGGAAGAACACCAGUGGCGAAAGCGGUCUGCUGGACAGCAACUGACGCUGAGGCGCGAAAGCGUGGGGAGCAAACAGG
RNAcentral lists this ribosomal RNA (253 nucleotides) under uncultured bacterium. RNAcentral describes it as "partial 16S ribosomal RNA". It matches the Rfam family "Bacterial small subunit ribosomal RNA", at positions 524 to 776 of the family's 1533-position model. The record is from RNAcentral.